UGUGGACACCAAAUUCUACUGCUAAGCGGUGGAACGACUUUUCAGUCGAGCUCCAGUAGCCAUUGCCAAUCUCCAAACGAAAAAAUUGGAAUCAGCGCUACUGCUGUAUAACUUACUGGAGCUCUCAUUGGAACACACCCAGAAUUAAAACUUGCCAAAAAUUGGCCAAAACUGCACAGAUUUUUGAAGACUGAGGACAAAGAACUCAUCUUCCUUUUUUACUUUUCGCUGCCAUCAAGACUGUACUCAGAGAAUACUAAUUAUUCAUAGAAUAAUCUAGUAACAUAAGUUGUAUUCAAAUUAUUUACUAUUUUUAUUUAAUACAUUUAUGAUACUAUAUGACUGCUAAAUAUGACAAAAAUCAAGGAAAACUUAAAUAAUUUAGUGACAUAACCAAUAACUUGACGAACUGCCCUUAAAAUGGUUUAGAUUAUUAGAUCAAUUGUAAUGAUAAUAAGGUAUUAUUUUACAUGUGUUUUUGAUAGAUAUCACGGAGGAACCAGAGAAAAGUAAAAAUGACUUGAGACCGUACUAUCUAGUAGAAUUUGUAAGCCGAGGAAAAAAACCUGUUGUAAAACAAGUAGAUGUAGUCGUGGGUACUUGGCUUUUUGUUAAUAGCAAAACUAAAACUACAGCAACAAAGUUUCCUGAAGAGCCCUACGAUCAUUUGCACUUGUAUUUGGAAAACCGUUUGCCAGUUCCAGCUUCUUGGCCAUCGUACACCAUCAAAGUAAGAGGACGAGCAGAUACAUUAGAUGAGGCAUUCACAAAACUAUCUAAAAUAAUGUAAGAUGGUGAGUCGACUCUUACAAUGUCAUCUGAAGAAAGUGCAGCAGAAGCUGAGAAAAAGGAAAUUGAUAAGAUCCAGCAAAUGCAGUUUAUUGCUGAAGCGAACCAGUUCAAAAGUACUGUAUCAGGCGUAUCAAAGGUUAAUCGAACUUCAUUAAACGCUUCUGCAGCUAAAAAAUCAAAUAAAAAAAUGCUGUCACUAUCUAACGCAACUAAUCAAGAUAAUCUAAAACCAUUAAAAUCCUCAAGUGAUUCCACUAAUGUCAGUCUUUUGAAGAAUUCACAAUCUGGCAGCAAUGAUGAACUAUUACCAGGUACUUCCAGUGAGGAGGAACAAAUAUUAGAAGAAAAUUCUAAAGCGUAUCCUGAACAACAAACAACAUCAGCCACAAGUCAAGAUCAGUUUACGCCUGACUAUUCUGAUGAUAUCUAUUCUUAACUGAGUUUCACACACGAGAAAACUGUACCUGCAAAAACUUACAAGCAAGCAAGGAUAAACCAACCUCCAAUUAAUGGUAAAGAAGGUACAACUCAGACCAGCUCAAGUAUUAAAUCAACGGGCAGUAAUGAAAAUAUCAACAAGUCUAUUGAUGCUUUGAAAGCUAUAUGUACUAAGCAACAGAAAAGAAAAUCAUUAGCAGAUUUGACGAAUACUUAAAGAAACCCAAAUGUGAUACGCAAACAAAUUAUGAUUUUCAGGAUGUUGUUAUUGAUUAUCUGAUGUAUUUAGCGGAUUCUGUAGAUGAAAUACAUGCACAACAAAAAAAUAACACUGACGAAAUAGCAAGCAUUAAAACAUUACUUUUAAAGCAAAGUAUAAAUGAAAAUGUGAUAGCUAACCAAAAACAGCUUGCUGAUAAGUAUUCUUGCGUUUUACCAUUUUCAACGGUUCAGAGUUUUCAAGAAUUUGAUGAAAAACUUCAGGAUAACAAAUCAAGUUUACGCUCAGAUGUUAAAAACAUGCUUUUGUCUGGUCUUGAUUCCAACCUUGUAAUAUCAAAGUGCAUGGUAAAUAUGCUAAAAAUGGUCUUGUCAAGAGAAGUUGCGAUGCAAUAUACAGCAGUAAAAGAAGUCAAGGAUAAAAAUGUUAUGAUGAAUACCAAUUUUUAUUCUUGUAUAUCAGAAAUUAUAAACGAGCGUCGCAUGGCAUCAAAUCUUUGAGUAACAGACAAAGAUUUCAAAACAGGUUUAAGCAAUGUUUUGACAAAUGCCUCUGGUUUGAAAUCAUCCUCAGAGAAUCGAAAAAGAUUACGUAAAUCUCCUCGUAAAUCUCGCAAACCAAAAAAUAAUACAAAAAAGAAAACGUUGUCAGACGAUGAAGAUAAUGCCUUGUACGAUGAUUUGUCUGCUGAUGAGCCUGCAAGUCAAGAGGAAAAUGUUCUCAAUUCUUCCAACUCAAAUGCGAUUGAUUUAGAUCCACGAAAUUAUGGAGCACCGCCAGGGAUAGAUACCCUGGUAGAAAUUCGAAUAUUUAAAAUGGGCUGUAAACUAUGAAAUGGCUAUGAGAAAUAGCCAAGCCAUAGCUUGUGAUGAAACGCUUUUUCUCCCAUUUCUUGAGCAUUUGUUGGAAUGAACAUAACCUUAAAUCUUUAGUAUUGAUAUUAUUCCUUGUAUCGUACACUAAUUUCAAAGAGGCUUACGGAUUUUAAUCGAUUUCCAAACGGUUUACACAAUUAACAGUCAAUUAGAGUUAUACAAGCACGACAUACGAAGAUAUUCGUGAUUUUCUUAUUUUUUCACUUUUUUGACCCGACUUAUUUUGCGUAGUACUUAUUCGUAGCCAUCAACUAGCUAUCACCAGUGCUUUGCUUUAGACAAUGAAAUCUAUUUUUACAAGCUUGAAAAUUCCUUGUAAUACGGUAUGACUCUAUUCUUACUCCAAUAAAUGCAUAAAAACUGUCCCAAAAAGCGUUUCAUCGCUGGACGAAAAAGUAGUAAUACGUGGUAUGUUGUAGCUUUAAACUUAUAUCGAUUUCUACCAGGGUAUGAGAUGUAAACUACUUUAUUUUUAGUUCGUCGUUCAUUGUAAUGCAUGUUAAUUAUGUAAAGUAUUCUAUUUUUAGUUCAUCGUUUAUUUUACGUUAUUUUCGAUUUCAUUAUUUACUUGCUUAAAAAUGACGAAACUUAUAAUGUAACUUUUUUAAAUUAUUAUAAAAGUGUAAAAA
This is a long non-coding RNA of Nasonia vitripennis (jewel wasp), 2954 nucleotides long. RefSeq lists it as uncharacterized. The record is from RefSeq and is a predicted model, not a curated record. The transcript is spliced from 8 exons. Lineage: Eukaryota; Metazoa; Arthropoda; Insecta; Hymenoptera; Pteromalidae.